GCUUGAACGUCACUGCGUGCAGUUGGAGGAUAUUGAUAUCACGGACUGUCAGUGUGAUUUCCGAUUGCAUGCAGCAGUCGACGCAGCGCACAUCGCAGGACUUUCAAUCGUGGAGAGAUUUGUUUGGAUGGCAGUGAGAGCUAGAGCAGACAGAAUUGAUGUAGGGUGAGGUUGGGAAUAUGGAACUCACUCAUCAGAGGACUUCGCCUCAAGGUGUGACCUAUUUGGAUAAAGCAACGCUGGUGGCAGGUGUCACUAUAAAAUUUACACACAAGGGAACUUUGGCCAGAAGAGUGACCCUGUCAGAUUCAUGGACGGUGGAGGAGGACAGACCACAUCGUCGCCAGCCUUACAUAGCAGCAGUCUCAAUUCUCUCAAGUACAAGGAGGUCUAUGCCUUCAUCAUGGGAAACUCUCUUUUCAGUGCUCUUCAAGAAGCCUCUGAAUUCAUACCAGGAAACCCUAUUUCCGGUGCUCUUCAAG
Sycon ciliatum is the source of this 482-nucleotide long non-coding RNA. RefSeq lists it as uncharacterized. The transcript has 3 exons. The record is from RefSeq and is a predicted model, not a curated record. Lineage: Eukaryota; Metazoa; Porifera; Calcarea; Leucosolenida; Sycettidae.